GAUGAACGCUGGCGGCGUGCUUAACACAUGCAAGUCGAACGGGAAACCUUUUAUUGAAGCUUCGGCAGAUUUAGCUGGUUUCUAGUGGCGGACGGGUGAGUAACGCGUGGGUAACCUGCCUUAUACAGGGGGAUAACAACCAGAAAUGGUUGCUAAUACCGCAUAAGCGCACAGGACCGCAUGGUCCGGUGUGAAAAACUCCGGUGGUAUAAGAUGGACCCGCGUUGGAUUAGCUAGUUGGCAGGGUAACGGCCUACCAAGGCGACGAUCCAUAGCCGGCAUGGGAGGGUGACCGGCGACAUUGGGACUGCGACACGGCCCAGUGUCCUAGGGGGGGCAGCAGUGGGGAAUAUUGCACAAUGGAGGAAACCCUGAUGAAGCGACGCCGCGUGAAGGAAGAAGUAUCUCGGUAUGUAAACUUCUAUCAGCAGGGAAGAUAGUGACGGUACCUGACUAAGAAGCCCCGGCUAACUACGUG
Molecule: ribosomal RNA, 478 nt
Filed under: uncultured bacterium
Lineage: Bacteria
Description: partial 16S ribosomal RNA
Rfam family: Bacterial small subunit ribosomal RNA
Source: RNAcentral